UCGUUGCUGAAGGCAAACAAACACUCACGCGGAACCGCGGACUCCACAUCGAUGUUUGUUGUAGUCCUAUUUAUAACCGAAGAGGCGAGAGAGAGAGAGAGAGAGAGAGAGCGAGAGAGAGAGGUGAAUGGAGUCGCCGCCACAGGACGACACCUGCUCGAUCUGCCUUGGAAGCUUCACGCACCCCUGCCAAGCCAAUUGUUCCCAUUGGUUCUGCGGAGAGUGUAUUCUGAGCGUCUGGCAUCAUGGAUCCAUCUUUCAGCAAUGCAAAUGCCCCAUUUGUCGUUGUUUCAUAAAUUUACUGAAACCUACUGAUGCCAGUGUUCAAGAGGGCAAGGACAGAAAAGCUAACCAGGUUCUUAAAAGCAUUAAGAAGUACAACCGUUCAUUUGGUGGAGAACCAUCCAGCCUCAUACAGAAGUUACAGGACCUUCCAUUCUUCAUCAGAAGGCUGGCAAUGGAACUGAUGGAUCCGCGGAGGCCACUGCCUUCUCUCUUCAGAGCACAUAUCACUUUUGCCACGAGCAGGGUUGCGGAUCUGCGGCAUCAGUGCGUGGGUGCAGGCCUGCUUGUGCGCAUGCACAUUCUCCUGAAAUUGUUAUGUUCUAUAAAACUGCAUCUGUUGUUGUAUGCAAAGCUAUGCCUUGUUUCUUUCUUUGUAUGUUUUCUCUAAGUUCUUGAUGUUUAUGCAUUUGUGAUUCUUAAGUGGCAUAACCAACAUGUCCAGACGAGUUUUGUUAAUUUGAUUGGUAGUUAUUUGUCUAAUAACAUAUCUAGGUUUGUUAAUGGAAACGUUGGCAAUUACUGUGCACUCAUAGAUAUGACAAUCACAAACCAAAGGUAGGUUAGAAUUCUUUUAUAGUAAAGGUGCAUAAAAAAUGUGUUCGUUGGUAAAAGAGAUGGUCUUGCAUGGGCUCAAAUAUAAAAAGUGGAAUUCUGAUAUAUGUUCAGAAUUUUGACCCUAGAUGAGCAAGAUGUCAUAACACCGAGUUAUGUCCAUAUUAUUUCUAGUUUGAUAUGCUACCAAAUGUUCCUAUAUGAUCACAUUAAAUACUUUUAUAUAUAUUUUUCCUUCAAGGCUAUCAUUCUGUUGUUUUAAUAUGCUUAUUCACAUCUCUUCCAAGCAAAAAAUAUAUCAAACAACACUUAUUUGGAUUUUAGAAUUCUGAUAUUAAUUGAGGAACCAAUACAAGUGACAGUCCGAUGACAAACAAUAAGAAAAUAAAGUUUUAGAACAUUAAUGUAAAUUCAUAUGACCAAUUAUAUUUUACCUUGAUUUUAGUACCAGUAACAAUAAAGAAUUGAUUGUAACAUGUGAGAAUGGCGACUAUAUGCCGUAGAGUAAUCCAGAUAUGCAGUCCUAUGCUCACAAUUAGGUGGACAGCAUAUGCUAAUUUUAGUUAUAUCUAUCUGGCUUACAUAAGCAAUAUUCUAUUAUGCAUAGCCACAUGGUCGUACACCACAUAAGGAAACACUGUUUGGAACACUGAGCAUGUGGAAAAUUUGUUUCUAUCUCCCCGUUAUCUGAUAGUAGCACCAAAUUUUAGUGACAAAAUUAUUGUUACUAUGUAUGGAGAUGAGAACACAAAUGGAAAUCGCUUUGAUCAUAUAUACAUUUUAUGAAAGGUAAGUUUAUUGAGAUUUAAAUUUUUGCAGCUGUCACUAAGUGCAAUGUAUGUGCUGAGUCCGGUGGACAUGCUUCCAGAAGACGAAUAUGGAGUCGUUGGUUUACUAGACGAUCUCCUCGUUUUGCUGCCAAAUUUGCAGGUUAUUUUCAUCAACCGUCAGAAGAUGCUGUUCAUUGUAACACUGGUAAUCUCUAUUCUCCAGUAUUUGCACAUGUUAUUAUUUCAUGUUAAAAGAAGUACUUGCUACUAUAAUCAUAUGUUGCAUUUUUUUA
Molecule: RNA transcript, 1900 nt
Organism: Musa acuminata AAA Group (dessert banana)
Lineage: Eukaryota; Viridiplantae; Streptophyta; Magnoliopsida; Zingiberales; Musaceae
Exons: 6
Source: RefSeq, a predicted model, not a curated record